AACAAGAUGGAAGCUGCG
This 18-nucleotide non-coding RNA is filed under the name Arabidopsis thaliana (thale cress). Lineage: Eukaryota; Viridiplantae; Streptophyta; Magnoliopsida; Brassicales; Brassicaceae. The record is from RNAcentral.